Long non-coding RNA from Papilio xuthus (Asian swallowtail), 410 nucleotides. RefSeq lists it as uncharacterized. The transcript is spliced from 2 exons. NCBI's taxonomy places the organism in Eukaryota, Metazoa, Arthropoda, Insecta, Lepidoptera, Papilionidae. The record is from RefSeq and is a predicted model, not a curated record.
AUUGAUGUAAUAACGUCAGACUGACAUUUUGACCGAUUAUACAUUUCAUUUCAAUAUUUCUCAAUUCUAAAUUUUUGUAGCAUAUAACAUGUAUUUGAUUUCAAACCCGUUAAAAUAUACAAAAUGUCUUAAACCGACACCACAGAGGCUUGUGGACUUUAAAGGAAACGAUGAAUAUGAUUGCUACUCGGAAAAUUACAUCAAAUGUUUUUGGGACCUAUGCGAUUACCACAAAAGCGUAGAAAGUUUCGUUACAAAGCCAAAAGAACAAGUAAUCAUACAACAACCAAGACGACAAAAUAAAAUAUAAUCAUACUAAAGCUAGCUUUUGCAAAGUAAAAAGUACACUGGACUUGGAAAAUAAAAAAAUAAUCAAUAAAUAUCAUUUAAUAAAUUCUACAUCAUGUAAA